GGGCUUUCAAAACCCCGCGGAAGUGCUUAUAUUUGCAGGCGUCGGGCAACCGACUAUGGCGAUAAACGUCGUGUGGCAUAAGCGUUGCGGACCCGGGGGCGGUACCCGGCGCCUCCACCAAUUUCCAACCGACUCGGAGCAUGCAUCCGACCGGUUGGCUCUCGGGGGCGAAAUAGGAUCGACGCGCGUGGUAAAGGCACGAUUUUUGCCCGGCAUGGUUCCGCCGUUAUCGGGCCAAUCCUAGAGUGCCAACGACAACCGUAUGGCCCUCGCUGCCUAACUUUAGGUAAGCGCGGUUCGGGGGGGCACCGGGCAACAGAAGCCCCCCCACU
This 332-nucleotide transfer-messenger RNA is filed under the name Alphaproteobacteria bacterium. It matches the Rfam family "Alphaproteobacteria transfer-messenger RNA". From Rfam's summary of the family: Bacterial tmRNA, also known as 10Sa RNA or SsrA, is named for its dual tRNA and mRNA-like properties. Its role is to liberate the mRNA from a stalled ribosome. Lineage: Bacteria; Pseudomonadati; Pseudomonadota; Alphaproteobacteria. The record is from RNAcentral.